GGGUAACCUACCCUAUGCUGGGGGAUAAGCUCGGGAAACUGAGAAUAAUACCCCAUAGUCCACUACGCCUGGAACGGUGAGUGGAUCAAAGCUCCGGCGGCAUAGGAUGGGCCUGCGGCGUAUCAGGUUGUAGGGGGUGUAAUGUACCCUCUAGCCAUCUACGCGUACGGGUGUUGGGAGACAUUGCCCGGAGAUGGAUUCUGAGACACGAAUCCAGACCCUACGGGGUGCAGCAGGCGCGAAAACUUGGCAAUGCGAGAAAUCGUGACCAGGGAACUCCAAGUGGCAGGGGUAAGACCCUGUCUUUUUCCGACUCUAAAUAGGUCGGCGAAUAAGGGGUGGGUAAGGACGGUGCCAGCCGCCGCGGUAAUACCGGCGCCUCAAGUGGUAGUCGCUUUUAUUGGGCCUAAAACGUCCGUAGCCGGUCUGGUACAUUCGUGGGUAAAUCAACUCGCUCAACGAGUUGAAUUCUGCGAGGACGGCCAGACUUGGGACCGGGAGAGGUGUGGGGUACUCUCAGGGUAGGGGUAAAAUCCUGUCAUCCUGAGAGGACCACCUGUUGCGAAGGCUCCACACUAGAACGGAUCCGACGGUCAGGGACGAAGCCUAGGGGCACGAACCGGAUUAGAUACCCGGGUAGUCCUAGGUGUAAACGCUGUGGACUUGAUGUCGGGGACGCUCCGAGCGUUCUCAGUGUCGAAGCGAAGGUGAUAAGUCCACUGCCUGGGGAGUACGGCCGCAAGGCUGAAACUU
RNAcentral lists this ribosomal RNA (753 nucleotides) under uncultured Candidatus Poseidoniales archaeon. Its description in RNAcentral is "bacterial SSU rRNA". It matches the Rfam family "Archaeal small subunit ribosomal RNA", at positions 102 to 857 of the family's 1478-position model. Lineage: Archaea; Methanobacteriati; Thermoplasmatota; Candidatus Poseidoniia; Candidatus Poseidoniales. The record is from RNAcentral.